AUACGGAGGGUGCAAGCGUUGUCCGGAUUUAUUGGGUUUAAAGGGUGCGUAGGUGGCCUGGUAAGUCAGUGGUGAAAUACAGCCGCUCAACGGUUGAGGUGCCAUUGAUACUGCCCGGCUUGAAGCAGACAGAGGCUGCCGGAAUGGAUGGUGUAGCGGUGAAAUGCAUAGAUAUCAUCCAGAACACCGAUUGCGAAGGCAGGUGGCUAUGUCUGACUUGACACUGAGGCACGAAAGCAUGGGGAGC
Molecule: ribosomal RNA, 247 nt
Filed under: uncultured bacterium
Lineage: Bacteria
Description: partial 16S ribosomal RNA
Rfam family: Bacterial small subunit ribosomal RNA
Source: RNAcentral